RNAcentral lists this ribosomal RNA (464 nucleotides) under uncultured bacterium. RNAcentral describes it as "bacterial SSU rRNA". It matches the Rfam family "Bacterial small subunit ribosomal RNA", at positions 917 to 1382 of the family's 1533-position model. The record is from RNAcentral.
GGGCCCGCACAAGCGGUGGAGCAUGUGGUUUAAUUCGACGCAACGCGAAGAACCUUACCCAGGCUUGAACUGCAGACGACAUCCUACGAAAGUAGGCUCCCGCAAGGGCGUCUGUAGAGGUGCUGCAUGGCUGUCGUCAGCUCGUGUCGUGAGAUGUUGGGUUAAGUCCCGCAACGAGCGCAACCCUUGUCUUCUGUUGCCAUCAGGUUAUGCUGGGCACUCUGAAGAGACUGCCGGUGACAAACCGGAGGAAGGUGGGGAUGACGUCAAGUCAGCAUGGCCUUUAUGUCUGGGGCCACACACGUGCUACAAUGGCCGAUACAAACCGUCGCGAGCCCGCAAGGGGGAGCUAAUCGGAGAAAGUCGGUCUCAGUUCGGAUUGUAGGCUGCAACUCGCCUGCAUGAAGUUGGAAUCGCUAGUAAUCGCGGAUCAGCACGCCGCGGUGAAUACGUUCCCGGGCCUU